UACGAAGGGGGCAAGCGUUGUUCGGAAUGACUGGGCGUAAAGGGCGCGUAGGCGGUUCGUUGCGUCAGAUGUGAAAGCCCCGGGCUCAACCUGGGAACUGCAUUUGAUACGGGCGGGCUUGAAUCCAAGAGAGGGUGGUGGAAUUCCCAGUGUAGAGGUGAAAUUCGUAGAUAUUGGGAAGAACACCAGUGGCGAAGGCGGCCACCUGGCUUGGUAUUGACGCUGAGGCGCGAAAGCGUGGGGAGCAAACAGGAUUAGAUACCCUGGUAGUCCACGCCGUAAACGAUGUGUGCUAGCCGUCGGGCAGCUUGCUGUUCGGUGGCGCAGCUAACGCGAUAAGCACACCGCCUGGGGAGUACGGUCGCAAGAUUAAA
Molecule: ribosomal RNA, 374 nt
Filed under: uncultured bacterium
Lineage: Bacteria
Description: bacterial SSU rRNA
Rfam family: Bacterial small subunit ribosomal RNA
Source: RNAcentral